Molecule: ribosomal RNA, 465 nt
Filed under: uncultured bacterium
Lineage: Bacteria
Description: partial 16S ribosomal RNA
Rfam family: Bacterial small subunit ribosomal RNA
Source: RNAcentral
GAUGAACGCUGGCGGCGUGCUUAACACAUGCAAGUCGAACGGAAAGGCCCAAGCUUGCUUGGGUACUCGAGUGGCGAACGGGUGAGUAACACGUGGGUGAUCUGCCCUGCACUUCGGGAUAAGCCUGGGAAACUGGGUCUAAUACCGGAUAGGACCACAUUUUGGAUGGUGUGGUGGAAAGUUUUUCGGUGUGGGAUGAGCUCGCGGCCUAUCAGCUUGUUGGUGGGGUAAUGGCCUACCAAGGCGUCGACGGGUAGCCGGCCUGAGAGGGUGUACGGCCACAUUGGGACUGAGAUACGGCCCAGACUCCUACGGGAGGCAGCAGUGGGGAAUAUUGCACAAUGGGCGCAAGCCUGAUGCAGCGACGCCGCGUGGGGGAUGGCGGCCUUCGGGUUGUAAACUCCUUUCGCUAGGGACGAAGCGCAAGUGACGGUACCUGGAGAAGAAGCACCGGCUAACUACGUG